GAAAAUUCUCACCUUUUUAUUAUGUUCUAACACACAUCUUUUUCCUUAGAUACAGAAGAGAUAUGAGUCAAUUUUAAUGUGCCCAUUCACGGCUCAAGGGCUGCAAGGAGGCUAAUGACUAUUGUUAAAUAAAUUACUUAACAUUUUUGGACUAGUUAAUCUGUACCAAAACUUGCAACCUGAGGCUUAAACCCCUCCUUAGUGUGACAAUAAUCAAAACCAUACCACGCAUUUCCUGGCACAAAUAUUCCAAAAUAGAACGUAUAAGAAACUGGCACUAAAUGACCAUUACCCUCUUGAUGAAGCACCUUCACCCAACCUGGUCUCCAAUCAUCAGACCCAACCUUCUUAAGGUAAUGAACAAACACUCUGUUUCAUGCAUGGUCCACUUGCCUCAAACAUGUCAAUGGAACACCUCCCAAAUCCUCCAUAUGAACCACCUUGCUUUCUAAAACCCUUCGGACCAUAUAACAGCUUGGGAUUCUUUAGAGGCUUCACUAUGAUUAAGUUUCCUGAUGAUCACUGAACCUAACACUGAUGUGAUCUUUAGUACCAGCUGAUGGUGCACGAGUUGUCUCAAUCUCAAUUGAAUAGGAGCAAUUUUUUUGGGAUUCUUGAAAGGUAGAGGUUGUGGGUUCGUUUCCAUUGGCUAGAUGAGCAGGAAUGGUGGUGGUUAGAAUAGAAAUAAUGAUUAGAAGAAAGCUUGCUCU
This 710-nucleotide unclassified non-coding RNA is filed under the name Hevea brasiliensis (rubber tree). The record is from RNAcentral. Lineage: Eukaryota; Viridiplantae; Streptophyta; Magnoliopsida; Malpighiales; Euphorbiaceae.